Molecule: transfer RNA, 69 nt
Filed under: Ictidomys tridecemlineatus (thirteen-lined ground squirrel)
Lineage: Eukaryota; Metazoa; Chordata; Mammalia; Rodentia; Sciuridae
Description: Spermophilus tridecemlineatus (thirteen-lined ground squirrel) tRNA
Rfam family: tRNA
About the family: Transfer RNA (tRNA) molecules are approximately 80 nucleotides in length. Their secondary structure includes four short double-helical elements and three loops (D, anti-codon, and T loops).
Source: Rfam by way of RNAcentral
GGGGUUGUAGCUCAGUGGUUGAGUGCUUGCCUCAAAUGCAUGAGGCACUGAGUUUGAUCCUCAGCACCA